AACAUAACAAAGUGAUAAAUUUACCCAGCAAGGAAACUAAAGAAAAUUUUGUCAAAUGUCAAUUAUCUAUGCAAAUGGAGGAGAACAAGUGAGCAGAUAAUGAGCAGUGACAGUUAACAUAAACAUAAUUCACAUUUGACUUUGGAAUCCUGUAUAUGCUUUAGUUUGAAGGAAGUGAAAGAGGGGAAGCUGGGGAACAAAUUUAUUUUCCAAUUCCUAUUUGCUUUUAUCAGGUAUUUAUACUGAUUUUCCCUGAGUCCAUUGAAUCUGAAGGAGAACAGAAAGAGGGAAGAGACAAGUGUAGGCAGAACACUGCACCCUCCUCCUUCCCCCAAAGUUGUCCACUUUCUAAUCCAGGAAAGUGUUUUGUGGCAAAGCAGAUUUAGGGUUGCAAAUGGAAUUAAGGUGGAUAAUAAGCUGACCUUAAAACAGGGAGAUUAUUUUGGAUUAUUUCAGUGGGCCAGUGUAAUCACAAGAGUCCUUAAAAGUGGAAGAGGGAGGUAGAAGAGAGUCAGAGAAAGAGAUGUGAUGAUGAAAGUAGGGUCAGAGAGAUGCUGUGAUGCUGGCUUUGAAGAUGGAGGAAGUGGACCAUGAGCCAAGGAAUAGAGGUGGCCUCUAGAAGUUGGCAAAAACAAGAAAAACAGAUUCUUUCCUGGAGCCUCCAGAAAGGAAUGCAGCUCUGCCAACACCUUGGUUUUAGCUCAGUGAAACCGGUGUUGGACCUCUGACCUACAGAAUGGUCAGAUAAUGAAUUUGUAUGGUUUUAAGCCACUAAGUUGAUGGUAAUUUGUUACAUCAAUAAAUAGAAAACUAAUACAGAGGCCAAGAAUACAACUGGAUGGUAAGAAAGGCAGUCCAAGAUUUAAAAUUAUGUGUUAGUACUUUUCCAAAUAGAUAAUUCACAUAAGACCAAUUAAGUUGAUUCUCUUGUUCUUUAAGAAAAAAUACUCUUGAGAUUCCCUGUUAAUUUUUGUCCUUCUGGAUGUGUAGAGUAUCUCACAUCCCUUGUGGCCAAGGGGAACUGGAUAUGGACAGCAAUCACAGUUAAUCCUUGAAAAAAAACCAUGACACUUUCACAAAUUUGUCUUCAAUGUUCGUAGAUUCUUUUUUUGAGACCUUAUCCCCAAACCAUUUUCUUGUACAUUAUGAAUAUCAAGAAAGCAGGAGUUCUGAAUGCCCUCAUCCUUGGUAGGAAGUGUGAAUAGCCUACUGGUGCAUUUCACCACUGGUGUUUUAACUGAAACACUUAUUCACACCAUGUCCUCAUAGAAUCCUGAAAUUUCAGAGUAAGAAAGAGCCUUUCCAAUUAUCCUGUCCCAUUCCCCUUGUUUUACAGAAGAGAAAUGAAAUGUUGUGAUCAAGGUUACAUAGGAAAUGUACGGCAGAGCCAGGACUAGAAAGUUGAGGUCUUGACUGUUGGUGUGGACUUCCCCACUCCACUCACACUGCCCCCUCUGGAUGCUUGCAGAGUUUGUCUUCCAUCUUCCAGGCCAGCCAAGGUGACAGGUUAUUGACUCUGUACCUACAACUACCCAACAACAAAACUACUGUCUUCCUCAGAGCAACUGCAGUUAUUUUUAAGCACAAAGAACACAUAAAAAAAUAGAAGGUCUGAUGAGAUCGAAAGGACAUGACUAUAGCAAUAAGAGGAAAGCUCACCCAUUUGCUCUUUGAUCAGAGUGAAGAUGAUUACUAUCUUUGAGAAGACGUUGUAGCAUAUGGUGAAACAGUACUAAAUCAUUCUCACCCUAUCACCCAGUACAUCCACAAAUGAAAAUACUGACCUAGUGAAAAUCAGUUAUCUUCAGCACCUGUGUUUUGUUUUUGCUGUAAAAAAAGCACCUUAAUUAAAAUGCAUUACAAAACCAAGUGCUGCAGUGUUUCUACUGUGCUAUGUGGUCAUGUGGUAGCCACAUUAUCAUCAAGUGCUCACAAUGGGACAUUCCCUUCUCCUCGUUCAUUAAUAUUCAUGGAAUAGCAGACAUUUGAACCUUCUAUGUCACCUUUCUUAGCAUCAUAUUUUGAUAUUUUUUCUAGAAGUAUCUUUUACCUGUUUUAUAGCAACUGACAUUCUCUUUCGUUUCUCUCCUGUUUCAUUUCUUUCCUGUUCUAUCCCUCUCGUGGUUUCUUUCCCCUACUCAUCUACUUGCCUAAAUAGAGUCAGGAGCUGUCUUCACCUCUCCAGCUUAGAGCGUGGGUUGCUGCAGAGAACCCAUGCAGAUAGACCGGCCCCACCAUUCAUGCCCAUUGACUUGAG
This is a non-coding RNA of Equus caballus (horse), 2257 nucleotides long. The record is from RefSeq and is a predicted model, not a curated record. NCBI's taxonomy places the organism in Eukaryota, Metazoa, Chordata, Mammalia, Perissodactyla, Equidae.